UACGUAGGGUGCAAGCGUUGUCCGGAUUUAUUGGGCGUAAAGAGCUCGUAGGCGGCUUGUUGCGUCGUCCGUGAAAACCUGGGGCUCAACUCCAGGCUUGCGGUCGAUACGGGCAGGCUAGAGUUCGGUAGGGGAGACUGGAAUUCCCAGUGUAGUGGUGAAAUACGUAGAGAUUGGGAAGAACACCAGUGGCGAAGGCGGCUAUCUGGACGGUUACUGACGCUAAGACGCGAAAGCGUGGGGAGCAAACAGG
This 253-nucleotide ribosomal RNA is filed under the name uncultured bacterium. RNAcentral's name for it is "partial 16S ribosomal RNA". It matches the Rfam family "Bacterial small subunit ribosomal RNA", at positions 524 to 776 of the family's 1533-position model. The record is from RNAcentral.